GCGAGGGUAGCUAAGCCUGGUCAACGGCGUCAGGUUCAGGGCCUGAUCCUUAGUGGUUCGUCGGUUCGAAUCCGGCCCCUCGCA
Molecule: transfer RNA, 84 nt
Filed under: Thermoplasmata archaeon
Lineage: Archaea; Methanobacteriati; Thermoplasmatota; Thermoplasmata
Description: tRNA-Leu
Rfam family: tRNA
About the family: Transfer RNA (tRNA) molecules are approximately 80 nucleotides in length. Their secondary structure includes four short double-helical elements and three loops (D, anti-codon, and T loops).
Source: RNAcentral